AGACUAAAAUACUAAUAUGUGCAGAGCAAAGUAUUGUAUGUUUUUUUUUUUUUUUUAUUGUUUGUAGAAAAAUAGCAAAAAUGAUUGAUGCCAAAACUUGGACUGAGAGAACUGCAGAUUCAUUUGAGGUAAAAUGAGGAUUGCACUAUGAUGGUUACAUUAAAAACUGAUGAACUGUGAUGGUUACAUUGCAUAAUUCUAAUAGGAAAUCCCAAGACAUAAAGGAGGCAACAACUGCGGUAUAUAUGUGCUGAUGGAAGACAUGCCUUUCAUCAGACGAUGGUGGUGUACUCUGCUGAUGACUAACUUCGCUGUGCAAAUGCCAAGAUGCAAGUUAUCUGAAGGAGAGGAUGGAAGUGAUGAGCCUCCUUAUAAGAAACAGCACCUCCAGGAACAAUCAGAUUGCACAGGUAUACACUGAUUUUUUUUUUUUGUAUUAUUUUGAACAGUGUGAUAGAUUACAACCAAUCCAUUUUCUCAGAUAAGGUGAUGUACAAAUUUGCUUCAUACUCAUGCAGACAAUGUUUUGUUAGGUACACCUAACUAACUGAUUAACAACAGACUGCAUGGGUGUUGCUAUUGAGUAAAUGCUAAACCAGAUACCCACAGAAAAAGAUUUGAGUAUAAGGUGUUCUGCUCUAAUUAUGUUCUACGGUGUAAAGAAAUAAUUCAUAUGGAACCAAGGAAUAGGAUAAUGUGAGUAAUAUAAUGUAUUUAAUAAGUGAUUAAAUAUAUACUGUUGUGUGUACAUGUCACUGGUUAAAUAUGCGCUACACCGCGCUGAACUUAGUUCAGAAUCAGCUUCUUAUCACUGGUAACGCCGCGGCUUUCCUCUCACUCAUUCCCGCAGUGGAGUAAAAUAAUGUAUUCAAUGCUUUGAUUAGAUCAGAGCUUAUGUGGCAUAGUCAGUGCUGAUUGCUAUUUAUUUGCCUGACAGCUGCAGUCCUGACUAGAUAUCUUCAUGUUGUGAUCGAGAGGUGUUUUACUGUUCACAAAAAUGUUAUCACACAAAUGUAUAUACAGGUGGAAGAGAACCUGAGGACUCACAGGAGAAUGCAACAAUCCUGCAGGUUUCUAUUAAAUAUUUUAAAUAUUUCAUAUUUUUAGAGGAUGGACAACUUGCAGGAUAAUGGUCAUUAAUGUGUUGUUGAACAACUCAAACAGAGUGAAAGGAAGAUGAUUACAUAUGCAGAGAAACAGAAGGACAAAAAAGUGUAAUUUAUAGAACUCAUUCUGUUGUCUGUGUGUCCGUCUCCCGGUCUCCCAUAGAUCCCAAAUAAAAAUUUUACAAAGGAUCCUCCUGGAGGUG
This 1309-nucleotide long non-coding RNA is filed under the name Astyanax mexicanus (Mexican tetra). Its description in RNAcentral is "lncRNA (ENSAMXG00005009592.1)". Lineage: Eukaryota; Metazoa; Chordata; Actinopteri; Characiformes; Acestrorhamphidae. The record is from RNAcentral.